RNAcentral lists this ribosomal RNA (495 nucleotides) under uncultured bacterium. Its description in RNAcentral is "partial 16S ribosomal RNA". It matches the Rfam family "Bacterial small subunit ribosomal RNA", at positions 28 to 507 of the family's 1533-position model. The record is from RNAcentral.
GACGAACGCUGGCGGCGUGCCUAAUACAUGCAAGUAGAACGCUGAAGGAGGAGCUUGCUUCUCCGGAUGAGUUGCGAACGGGUGAGUAACGCGUAGGUAACCUGCCUGGUAGCGGGGGAUAACUAUUGGAAACGAUAGCUAAUACCGCAUAAGAGUAGAUGUCGCAUGACAUUUGCUUAAAAGGUGCAACUGCACCACUACCAGAUGGACCUGCGUUGUAUUAGCUAGUUGGUGAGGUAACGGCUCACCAAGGCAACGAUACAUAGCCGAGCUGAGAGGGGGGUCGGCCACAACUGGACUGAGGCACGGCCCAGACUCCUACGGGGGGCAGCAGUAGGGGAUCUUCGGCAAUGGGCGGAAGUCUGGCCGAGCAACGCCGCGUGGGUGAAGGAGGGUUUCGGAUCGUAAAGCUCUGUUGUAAGGGAAGAACGAGUGUGAGGGUGGAAAGUUCACACUGUGACGGUAUCUUACCAGAAAGGGACGGCUAACUACGUG